This 683-nucleotide ribosomal RNA is filed under the name bacterium. Its description in RNAcentral is "bacterial SSU rRNA". It matches the Rfam family "Bacterial small subunit ribosomal RNA", at positions 808 to 1491 of the family's 1533-position model. The record is from RNAcentral.
GAUGUCGAUUUGGAGGUUGUGCCCUUGAGGCGUGGCUUCCGGAGCUAACGCGUUAAAUCGACCGCCUGGGGAGUACGGCCGCAAGGUUAAAACUCAAAUGAAUUGACGGGGGCCCGCACAAGCGGUGGAGCAUGUGGUUUAAUUCGAUGCAACGCGAAGAACCUUACCUACUCUUGACAUCCACGGAACUUGCCAGAGAUGGCUUGGUGCCUUCGGGAACCGUGAGACAGGUGCUGCAUGGCUGUCGUCAGCUCGUGUUGUGAAAUGUUGGGUUAAGUCCCGCAACGAGCGCAACCCUUAUCCUUUGUUGCCAGCGGUUCGGCCGGGAACUCAAAGGAGACUGCCAGUGAUAAACUGGAGGAAGGUGGGGAUGACGUCAAGUCAUCAUGGCCCUUACGAGUAGGGCUACACACGUGCUACAAUGGCGUAUACAAAGAGAAGCGAACUUGCGAGAGUAAGCGGACCUCAUAAAGUACGUCGUAGUCCGGAUUGGAGUCUGCAACUCGACUCCAUGAAGUCGGAAUCGCUAGUAAUCGUAGAUCAGAAUGCUACGGUGAAUACGUUCCCGGGCCUUGUACACACCGCCCGUCACACCAUGGGAGUGGGUUGCAAAAGAAGUAGGUAGCUUAACCUUCGGGAGGGCGCUUACCACUUUGUGAUUCAUGACUGGGGUGAAGUCGUAA